GGCGAAAUAGCUCAACGGUAGAGCUAAUGAAUCAUAAUCAUUCGGUUGUGGGUUCAAAUCCCUCUUUCGUCA
RNAcentral lists this transfer RNA (72 nucleotides) under Stigeoclonium helveticum. RNAcentral's name for it is "tRNA-Met". It matches the Rfam family "tRNA". From Rfam's summary of the family: Transfer RNA (tRNA) molecules are approximately 80 nucleotides in length. Their secondary structure includes four short double-helical elements and three loops (D, anti-codon, and T loops). Further hydrogen bonds mediate the characteristic L-shaped molecular structure. tRNAs have two regions of fundamental functional importance: the anti-codon, which is responsible for specific mRNA codon recognition, and the 3' end, to which the tRNAs corresponding amino acid is attached (by aminoacyl-tRNA synthetases). tRNAs cope with the degeneracy of the genetic code in two manners: having more than one tRNA (with a specific anti-codon) for a particular amino acid; and 'wobble' base-pairing, i.e. permitting non-standard base-pairing at the 3rd anti-codon position. The record is from RNAcentral. Lineage: Eukaryota; Viridiplantae; Chlorophyta; Chlorophyceae; Chaetophorales; Chaetophoraceae.